ACUUAAAUAGUUAAAGUUAUAGCGUCACAUUGAAGCUGUGGAGUUGGUAGUAUUGCCUUUAAGUG
Molecule: transfer RNA, 65 nt
Filed under: Alpheus digitalis
Lineage: Eukaryota; Metazoa; Arthropoda; Malacostraca; Decapoda; Alpheidae
Also listed under: 2 other names
Description: tRNA-Phe
Source: RNAcentral